ACAGAGACUGCAAGCGUUAUUCGGAUUCACUGGGCGUAAAGGGUGCGCAGGCGGCCAAGUGUGUUAGGCGUGAAAGCCUGAGGCUUAACCUCAGAAUUGCACCUAAAACUACAUGGUUAGAGCAUUGGAGAGGGUAGCGGAAUUCACGGUGUAGCAGUGAAAUGCGUAGAUAUCGUGAGGAACACCAGAGGCGAAGGCGGCUACCUGGACAAUUGCUGACGCUCAGGCACGAAAGCGUGGGGAGCAAAAGGGA
This 253-nucleotide ribosomal RNA is filed under the name uncultured prokaryote. RNAcentral's name for it is "partial 16S ribosomal RNA". It matches the Rfam family "Bacterial small subunit ribosomal RNA", at positions 525 to 777 of the family's 1533-position model. The record is from RNAcentral.